This 676-nucleotide ribosomal RNA is filed under the name uncultured Pseudomonadota bacterium. Its description in RNAcentral is "bacterial SSU rRNA". It matches the Rfam family "Bacterial small subunit ribosomal RNA", at positions 60 to 725 of the family's 1533-position model. The record is from RNAcentral. Lineage: Bacteria; Pseudomonadati; Pseudomonadota.
AGUCGAACGGUAACAGGAAGAAGCUUGCUUCUUUGCUGACGAGUGGCGGACGGGUGAGUAAUGUCUGGGAAACUGCCUGAUGGAGGGGGAUAACUACUGGAAACGGUAGCUAAUACCGCAUAACGUCGCAAGACCAAAGAGGGGGACCUUCGGGCCUCUUGCCAUCGGAUGUGCCCAGAUGGGAUUAGCUAGUAGGUGGGGUAACGGCUCACCUAGGCGACGAUCCCUAGCUGGUCUGAGAGGAUGACCAGCCACACUGGAACUGAGACACGGUCCAGACUCCUACGGGAGGCAGCAGUGGGGAAUAUUGCACAAUGGGCGCAAGCCUGAUGCAGCCAUGCCGCGUGUAUGAAGAAGGCCUUAGGGUUGUAAAGUACUUUCAGCGGGGAGGAAGGGAGUAAAGUUAAUACCUUUGCUCAUUGACGUUACCCGCAGAAGAAGCACCGGCUAACUCCGUGCCAGCAGCCGCGGUAAUACGGAGGGUGCAAGCGUUAAUCGGAAUUACUGGGCGUAAAGCGCACGCAGGCGGUUUGUUAAGUCAGAUGUGAAAUCCCCGGGCUCAACCUGGGAACUGCAUCUGAUACUGGCAAGCUUGAGUCUCGUAGAGGGGGGUAGAAUUCCAGGUGUAGCGGUGAAAUGCGUAGAGAUCUGGAGGAAUACCGGUGGCGAAGGCGGC